RNAcentral lists this ribosomal RNA (494 nucleotides) under uncultured bacterium. Its description in RNAcentral is "partial 16S ribosomal RNA". It matches the Rfam family "Bacterial small subunit ribosomal RNA", at positions 28 to 507 of the family's 1533-position model. The record is from RNAcentral.
GACGAACGCUGGCGGCGUGCUUAACACAUGCAAGUCGAACGGUGAAGCGCCUUCCUUUUUGGUGGGUGUGGAUGAGUGGCGAACGGGUGAGUAACACGUGAGUAACCUGCCCCCUUCUUCUGGAUAACCGCAUGAAAGUGUGGCUAAUACGGGAUAUUCUGGGUCUGUCGCAUGAUGGGUCUGGGAAAGAUAUUGUUUCGGUGGGGGAUGGGCUCGCGGCCUAUCAGCUUGUUGGUGGGGUGAUGGCCUACCAAGGCGGUGACGGGUAGCCGGCCUGAGAGGGUGGACGGUCACAAUGGGACUGAGACACGGCCCAGACUCCUAAGGGAGGCAGCAGUGGGGAAUAUUGCACAAUGGGCGCAAGCCUGAUGCAGCGACGCCGCGUGAGGGAUGGAGGCCUUCGGGUUGUGAACCUCUUUCGCCAGUGAAGCAGGCCUGCCUCGUUUGUGGGUGGGUUGACGGUAGCUGGAUAAGAAGCGCCGGCUAACUACGUG